Molecule: non-coding RNA, 91 nt
Organism: Xylaria palmicola
Lineage: Eukaryota; Fungi; Ascomycota; Sordariomycetes; Xylariales; Xylariaceae
Source: the annotation of a GenBank genome assembly
GGCUUCGUGGCCUAAUGGCUAGGGCGCUAGAUUUCGGUUAUCCAAAUAUCUGAUCCUCUAGAGAUUGUCGGUUCGAGUCCGGCCGAAGUCG